GGAGAGAUGGCUGAGUGGUUAAAAGCGACAGUCUCGAAAACUGUUAUACAUCUAAAAAUGUAUCGAGGGUUCGAAUCCCUCUCUCUCCG
RNAcentral lists this transfer RNA (89 nucleotides) under Clostridiales bacterium. Its description in RNAcentral is "tRNA-Ser". It matches the Rfam family "tRNA". Rfam says of the family: Transfer RNA (tRNA) molecules are approximately 80 nucleotides in length. Their secondary structure includes four short double-helical elements and three loops (D, anti-codon, and T loops). Lineage: Bacteria; Bacillati; Bacillota; Clostridia; Eubacteriales. The record is from RNAcentral.